This 369-nucleotide ribosomal RNA is filed under the name Haptolina ericina. RNAcentral describes it as "partial Bacterial large subunit ribosomal RNA". It matches the Rfam family "Bacterial large subunit ribosomal RNA", at positions 1164 to 1540 of the family's 2925-position model. Lineage: Eukaryota; Haptophyta; Prymnesiales; Prymnesiaceae. The record is from RNAcentral.
CGGAAGAUGUAACGGGGCUAAGCCAGUCACCGAAGCUGCGGAUAUCCUUUAUUGGAUAUGGUAGGAGAGCGUUCUGUAAGCCUGCGAAGGUGUCUUGUAAAGGAUGCUGGAGGUAUCAGAAGUGCGAAUGCUGACAUGAGUAGCGAUAAUGCGGGUGAAAAGCCCGCACGCCGUAAGCCCAAGGUUUCCUGUUCAACGUUCAUCGGAGCAGGGUGAGUCGGCCCCUAAGGCGAGGCAGAGAUGCGUAGCUGAUGGGAAGCAGGUUAAUAUUCCUGCACCGUCGUAUGAUGCGAUGGGGGGACGGAUCGCGGAAGGUUGUCUGACUGUUGGAAUAGUCAGUUUUUGACUCAUAGAAGGUGCUUAGGCAAA